Long non-coding RNA from Spinacia oleracea (spinach), 521 nucleotides. RefSeq lists it as uncharacterized. Lineage: Eukaryota; Viridiplantae; Streptophyta; Magnoliopsida; Caryophyllales; Amaranthaceae. The record is from RefSeq and is a predicted model, not a curated record. The transcript is spliced from 3 exons.
GUUAUAUUCUGUUCUUUCAGUUUCUUUCACGGACUAACAAGUCAUAACCUCCCUGCUCCCUCAUUCUCUCUCCUCCUCCCUCCCUCAAUUCUAGAUCUCACUGUCUAAAGUCGAACUAAUCGACACCAGAUCCACGACAACGGUCCUCCGACGCACCUCCGACUGCAGCUUUCCAGACUUCAAGGCGGGUCAACGAACUCACCUCCCACGCAUAUCCUCCUUGAGAUCCAGUAUUGCUGCCUUGUUGGUCCAUACUCCAUAGUAUUUGUUUGGUGCUGUGUUUUUAGAGAACACCAACAAGAAACAACAACAUACUCUUAUUCUUGUAAUAUGGAGAGCUCUCAAUCCAAACAGUGUCCUUUUUGGCAGAAAGUGUACAACCAUUGUAUAACUUGUCAUUUUUUUGGAUUUUAAGAUGUAAUUGGUGUUUUUUGUGGAACCAUGGUGUUCUUGAUUGAUGUAAUAGUAUAAUUAGUAUUUUAAUAAUACUCACUACUUGCGUAGUGGUUUGCUACUACAAA